Molecule: long non-coding RNA, 1709 nt
Filed under: Homo sapiens (human)
Lineage: Eukaryota; Metazoa; Chordata; Mammalia; Primates; Hominidae
Description: HSALNT0073825
Source: RNAcentral
AAGACAUGGUGAAAUGUUUAGCCAGAAUGACUGAAAACAAUGUCAUUAAGAAUAAAAAGUAAAAAUUGCGAUCAAGAAAAAAAGCAGAAACCAGACCUAGAGAAUCACUUGCAAACCUCAGGUUUUAGAACAGAUAUAUGUCUGAAGAAAUAAGUAAGUUGAGAGGUCAAAUGCCUGGGCUGUCAAGAACAGAUCUGGGAGCAGAGGGUAAGAUAGGUCAGCUGGGGGAGGAGCCAAGAUGGCCGAAUAGGAACAGCUCCGGUCUACAGCUCCCAGCGUGAGCGACGCAGAAGACGGGUGAUUUCUGCAUUUCCAUCUGAGGAUGAUUAACAGCAUUCAAGGUGGUGGCUACACAUCACAUCAGCCUGGAUUCUCAAGUAGGAAGAUACGCAACAGAGCAUCCAGCUGACCUUCACUGGAUAUGUUGUAUGAACAAGAAGUAAACUUCUCUUGUUAAAAGCCAUUGAAAUUUUGGAGUUGCCUUGUUACCACAGAGAAUCUAGCCUAACCUGUAUAAUAUAGUGACAAAGAGCAUGCAGCAAUAUGGUGGGGACGCAUACUACAGCUGAGCUCUGGACAGGAAGUUUUCCAUUUUAUGAGAAACUCAAACCACCAAGAAAACCAGCUUAUCUCACAAAAUAUUUUUAUACUUCUCUAGAACUCAGUAAGAGGCCCUCAACGGAUUGGAUGAUGCCUCUCCACGGUCCACAUCGGUGAGGGUGAUUGUCUUUACUCAGCCUAUUGAUUCAAACACUAAUCUCUUCUGGAAACACUCUCAGACUCACCCAGAAGUAAUGUUUGGCCAGCCAUCGGAGCAUCCUCUGGCUUAGUCAAGUUAACACAUAGAAUUAACCAUCACAGAAGGCAACAGAAAAACCUUUAAAGAAUCAAUAGAAAAUAUGUGCAUCAGAAAAUAUUGCUGGCUUACCCAAAAGCUAUUUCCCUUUUGUUCCUUACUAACAACUCUUACUUUGUUUAUAUUUGAGGAAGUAAUGUACUUAAGGAAGUUUUGUCUCUAACCCAGCAUUCAAGAAUGCGAAGACAAUCACGUUAAUCCCAUUUCCUCUACCAGUGAUUGGUGUGGAGGUGGGCAUAUCACUCACUUAUAACCAAAAGGUCCUGAGGGGGACUUACUAAGAACUUUUCAGAAAGGUUUUUCUCCAUGAUUAAAAGAAAAAUUGUAAAGGAAACAUCCCUUUCCUGUUUGAAUUCACUUGUGUGAGGACGUGAUGCUUGUAUCUAUGGCAACCAUUCUGUAACCAUGAGAUGAAAGCUAAAAGAAUCACAGAGAAGCUGACCCAAAACCCAGACAACUACAUUGCUGAAUCAGCAAACCUCAGAACUAUUUAUUUCCAGAUUUGUGUUGUAUGAAUAAUGAAUUCUUGUUUUUAGGCUCUAGUAAAUAUUCCAUUUCUUAGAGCAAACAGCAUUCUCAUGGAUAAAAUAUUUAUGAAUAACAUCCAUCUGUUUCCCUUUUAUUCAAUAUUUCAAGGUUAUUGAAAUUAUUAUAAAUAAAAUCAUUAAUAUUAUUUUUAAUCUACAUUUUUAUUUAGGUAUAACUAUAAAUUAGGCAUAACAAUUGAUAGCAUCUGAUAGACAUGAUUAGAGUUCAUGGGAAUAUACAGCUAAAUCUUUACAAAGGUCAUUAUAGCAGGUCAUUUUACAAUGUCUAGAGUCUUUACCAUCUCAUUUAUAUUUUCUCAUUUGAC